AACGAACGCUGGCGGCAGGCUUAACACAUGCAAGUCGAACGCACCUUUCGGGGUGAGUGGCCGACGGGUGAGUAACGCGUGGGAAUCUACCCUUCUCUACGGGAUAGCUCCGGGAAACUGGAAUUAAUACCGUAUACGUCCUGAGGGAGAAAGAUUUAUCGGGGAAGGAUGAGCCCGCGUUGGAUUAGCUAGUUGGUGGGGUAAAGGCCUACCAAGGCGACGAUCCAUAGCUGGUCUAAGAGGAUGAUCAGCCACAUUGGAACUGAGACACGGCCCAAACUCCUACGGGAGGCAGCAGUGGGGAAUAUUGGACAAUGGGCGCAAGCCUGAUCCAGCCAUGCCGCGUGAGUGAUGAAGGCCCUAGGGUUGUAAAGCUCUUUCAGUGGGGACGAUAAUGACGGUACCCACAGAAGAAGCCCCGGCUAACUUCGUG
RNAcentral lists this ribosomal RNA (433 nucleotides) under uncultured bacterium. RNAcentral describes it as "partial 16S ribosomal RNA". It matches the Rfam family "Bacterial small subunit ribosomal RNA", at positions 29 to 507 of the family's 1533-position model. The record is from RNAcentral.